ACAUAUUUUAGAGCUAGAAAUCAUUUCUAUAAAAUAAUAAAAAUUACUAUCAAAUCCAAAUUCAACUUACUAUAAAAAUAAGUAUCCUAAAAUAAAUUAAAUGUAACCCAUUUUUUCUUCAUUAUAAACUACACCUUGAUCUGAAUUAUUUUUUUAACAAAAUCUUAAAUAUUAACUUUCUAUAAAAAUAUUUAUAUAACAACGAUAUGUAAACUAAUAAAAAAAGUAAAUUUAAUCGUGGAUUAUCAUUUAUAAAACAGGUUCCUCUGAAAAGAUAAAAUACCGCCAGAAUUUUUAAUUUUAAAGAUUAUAUCUAAUACUAAUUUAAUGUUUUUAUUUACCUUUUUAAUAAUAGGGUAUCUAAUCCUAGUUUAUAAAUAAAUUUUCCCAACUUCAUUAACUAAUACAAAAUUAUUAAAAAAUUAAAAUUUCACCUUAUAAUUUCUUAACAUAAUUUUAUUCUUAAAUAAAUUGAUAUUAAUAAAAUUAAAUUAUAUUAUUUGGAUAACCGCA
RNAcentral lists this ribosomal RNA (513 nucleotides) under Arsipoda shirleyae. Its description in RNAcentral is "partial 12S ribosomal RNA". The record is from RNAcentral. Lineage: Eukaryota; Metazoa; Arthropoda; Insecta; Coleoptera; Chrysomelidae.